Sarcophilus harrisii (Tasmanian devil) is the source of this 688-nucleotide long non-coding RNA. Lineage: Eukaryota; Metazoa; Chordata; Mammalia; Dasyuromorphia; Dasyuridae. The record is from Ensembl.
CACUGACAAGUAGCUGUUUGCACUGCGAUAAGCCAGAAUGAGUUAGUAAGCGUGAUCAUUUCACUUUUUAGAAAUUAUAGUGAACGUUUCUAAAGUAUAACCAACAAAUAUUCCUCAUUCAAUUAUUUAGAUCCAGUUGGCUUGCCGAGCAGGGGAAUUUUAAUGCUGGAAACUUAAUCCCUUCCAACAAAAACCGAAACCGAAGCAGGGUUUGAAAUGGCAGACAAUGGCCCUGGAGUGCUCUUCCUCACACUGGCUGUCUCCUCAGCAGGGACCCAUAGGCCACCACAACACCAGGCCCGGGCCUGGUCAGAGAAGAGCAUGGGUGCCGGUCAGUGCGGCGUCCCUCACAGAGAGCCUGGCUCCCUGCGACAAGCCCACAGUUAUCCCCAUUGCUGCGCCUGAGUCAGUGUGGAGACAAGCUCGGGCUAACAGGAAGCUUGGGCUGGGGCAGGAGCCCCCAGGGUGGCCCAUCCCCCACUGUCCCAGGUGGUCCCGUUCAGAGCUUUAAACCAGUCCUUGGAGGCGCGUGAUGUUUGCAAGAACGCCCCCCCAGUUUGCCUUUAAGGGGACGUCCUCCAGUGUGACCCCCAAGCUCCUUUAAGGGAGCUCUCGUUCUCUGCACCCCAGGCUUGCACAGGCCAUGGCACACAGCAGGAUCUUAAUAAAUGCCGAAGUGAAAAAAACC